RNAcentral lists this unclassified non-coding RNA (275 nucleotides) under Hevea brasiliensis (rubber tree). Lineage: Eukaryota; Viridiplantae; Streptophyta; Magnoliopsida; Malpighiales; Euphorbiaceae. The record is from RNAcentral.
GUAAUAUAUAUAUAAUUAUUAUGUAAUAUAUAAUGGCUAUGGCUAUAAGCCAACUUUCUUUUUGUGAAUGUUUCAAAAAAUGAUUUUAGAAUCCGAUUGAAUCUAAGAUACGAAUAGUUGGUUUACGUUAUGGAAAGGGACGUGUAUAUGGAAUAUUAAGUAUUAACUAGUUAUAUAUGAGUUAAAAGAUAUAUCUAAUCUGCCCGACUACUGGAGAUUUAGAUAGGGAUUCCAAUAAAAGUCCUUUCUUUUCGUUUGUAACUGUGAAUUGAAUA